ACAUCCAGAGAAUUUAGCAGAGAUGCUUUAGUGCCUUCGGGAACUCUGAGACAGGUGCUGCAUGGCUGUCGUCAGCUCGUGUUGUGAAAUGUUGGGUUAAGUCCCGCAACGAGCGCAACCCUUAUCCUUUGUUGCCAGCACGUAAUGGUGGGAACUCAAAGGAGACUGCCGGUGAUAAACCGGAGGAAGGUGGGGAUGACGUCAAGUCAUCAUGGCCCUUACGAGUAGGGCUACACACGUGCUACAAUGGCGCAUACAAAGAGAAGCGACCUCGCGAGAGCAAGCGGACCUCAUAAAGUGCGUCGUAGUCCGGAUUGGAGUCUGCAACUCGACUCCAUGGAGUCGGAAUCGCUAGUAAUCGUAAAUCAGAAUGUUACGGUGAAUACGUUCCCGGGCCUUGUACACACCGCCCGUCACACCAUGGGAGUGGGUUGCAAAAGAAGUAGAUAGCUUAACCUUCGGGAGGGCGUUUACCACUUUGUGAUUCAUGACUGGGGUGAAGUCGUAACAAGGUAGGCGUAGUGCU
RNAcentral lists this ribosomal RNA (526 nucleotides) under uncultured bacterium. RNAcentral's name for it is "bacterial SSU rRNA". It matches the Rfam family "Bacterial small subunit ribosomal RNA", at positions 984 to 1509 of the family's 1533-position model. The record is from RNAcentral.